AGUUUGAUCCUGGCUCAGGAUGAACGCUAGCGGCAGGCCUAAUACACGCAAGUCGAACGGUGAUAGCAAUAUCAUAGUGGCGCACGGGUGCGUAACACGUAUGCAACCUACCUUAUACUGAGGGAUAGCCUUUCGAAAGGGAGAUUAAUACCUCAUAACACAUUGAACUGGCAUCAGUUUAUUGUUAAAGAUUUAUUGGUAUAAGAUGGGCAUGCGUCCAAUUAGUUAGUUGGCGAGGUAACGGCUCACCAAGACGAUGAUUGGUAGGGGAACUGAGAGGUUAAUCCCCCACACUGGCACUGAGAUACGGGCCAGACUCCUACGGGAGGCAGCAGUAGGGAAUAUUGGGCAAUGGAGGCAACUCUGACCCAGCCAUGCCGCGUGCAGGAAGAAGGCGUUAUGCGUUGUAAACUGCUUUUAUAUAGGAAGAAAUAGACCUUGCGAGGUAAGUUGACGGUACUAUAUGAAUAAGCACCGGCUAACUCCGUGCCAGCAGCCGCGGUAAUACGGAGGGUGCAAGCGUUGUCCGGAUUUAUUGGGUUUAAAGGGUGCGUAGGCGGUUUAUUAAGUCAGUGGUGAAAGACGGUCGCUCAACGAUUGCAGUGCCAUUGAUACUGGUAGACUUGAGUGGGAUUGAGGUAGCUGGAAUGGAUAGUGUAGCGGUGAAAUGCAUAGAUAUUAUCCAGAACACCAAUUGCGUA
This 701-nucleotide ribosomal RNA is filed under the name uncultured bacterium. RNAcentral describes it as "bacterial SSU rRNA". It matches the Rfam family "Bacterial small subunit ribosomal RNA", at positions 10 to 719 of the family's 1533-position model. The record is from RNAcentral.